Molecule: long non-coding RNA, 765 nt
Organism: Quercus robur (English oak)
Lineage: Eukaryota; Viridiplantae; Streptophyta; Magnoliopsida; Fagales; Fagaceae
Exons: 3
Source: RefSeq, a predicted model, not a curated record
AAAAAAAAAAAAAUACUACCACCAUUCGUUUAUCCUUCUCUAAAACCCUCACACUCUCUCUUUCUCUCUCCCUCUCUAACGUAUUUUCUCUCUCUAAAGCCUCUCUCUGUGAAAGUUCUCAGUUUGUUCACUCUCUGUUUAUUGGUUAAGCAAAGCAAAGCAAAAAUGGCGUCCGAAGGAGGUAACCUGAAGUCGACCUCCAUAAACGUUAUGAAGGUGUAUAGUUUUGGCAUCACAGAACCGCUCUUGGCUUGACCCUAAGAAGCUUCGAGCUCUUCGCAAAGGCAAAAAUUACUCGCAAAGGGUGGACUUGAUUCAGGAUCUGAGGUUUGAAACUGCAACCACUAAGAUUAAGGCAACUCCUGAUGGGGAGUUUCUUAUAGUGUCAGGUAUAUAUCCACCACAGGUCAAAGUGUAUGAGCUGAGCCAAUUAUCACUAAAGUUUGAGAGGCACUUGGAUUUAGAGAUAAUUGAUUUUCAGGUACUUUACAUGCUUGCUAAAGACUAUAAUUUACCUAGAGAUUCUGUUUUGUGAGGCAUUGCCAAAUAUACUCAUUCCAAAAAAUGCAAUGAUAUUCGGAAUCUUUAAUGAUGGUUCGUUUCUAGUGGUGUAGAUGAGGCAAGAUCUUGUGCCCACAUGCAUGGUCCUUGAUAUGUAGAGUGCAAUCUUUUUUCCAAUGUUAUUAUAUUUCCCUUUUGAAAUUCCUAAAUAGUUUUAGUUCAUGCUUUUUAUACAUUGUGAUGGUGUUGACUUCAAGCAGGCCG